RNAcentral lists this ribosomal RNA (607 nucleotides) under uncultured fungus. RNAcentral describes it as "eukaryotic LSU rRNA". The stretch from base 169 to 322 matches the Rfam family "5.8S ribosomal RNA". The record is from RNAcentral. Lineage: Eukaryota; Fungi.
UCCGUAGGUGAACCUGCGGAAGGAUCAUUAAUGAAUUUUAGGACGUUCUUUUUAGAAGUCCGACCCUUUCAUUUUCUUACACUGUGCACACACUUCUUUUUUACACACACUUUUAACACAUUAGUAUAAGAAUGUAAUAGUCUCUUAACUGAGCAUAAACAAAAUUAAAACUUUCAGCAACGGAUCUCUUGGCUCUCGCAUCGAUGAAGAACGCAGCGAAUUGCGAUAAGUAAUGUGAAUUGCAGAAUUCAGUGAAUCAUCGAAUCUUUGAACGCACCUUGCACUCUUUGGUAUUCCGAAGAGUAUGUCUGUUUGAGUGUCAUGAAACUCUCAACCCCCUUAUUUUGUAAUGAAAUGAGCGUGGGCUUGGAUUAUGGUUGUCUGUCGGCGUAAUUGCCGGCUCAACUGAAAUACACGAGCAACCCUAUUGAAAUAGACGGUUUGACUUGGCGUAAUAAUUAUUUCGCUAAGGACGUCUUCUUCAAAUAUAAGAGGUGCUUCUAAUUCGCUAUUAAAGCAACUUAAGCUUUAGACCUCAAAUCAGUCAGGGACUACCGGCUGGAACUUAAGGCAUAUCAAUAAGGCGGGAGGGAAGUCGACUGGCCAA